UACGUAGGGAGCAAGCGUUGUCCGGAAUCAUUGGGCGUAAAGCGUGCGUAGGUGGCUUCGUAAGUCCGUUGUGAAAGUCAAAGGCUCAACCUUUGAAAGCCGAUGGAUACUGCGGAGCUAGAGUACGGAAGAGGCGAGUGGAAUUCCUGGUGUAGCGGUGGAAUGCGCAGAUAUCAGGAGGAACACCAAUAGCGAAGGCAGCUCGCUGGGACGUUACUGACACUGAGGCGCGAAAGCGUGGGGAGCGAACAGG
This 253-nucleotide ribosomal RNA is filed under the name uncultured bacterium. RNAcentral's name for it is "partial 16S ribosomal RNA". It matches the Rfam family "Bacterial small subunit ribosomal RNA", at positions 524 to 776 of the family's 1533-position model. The record is from RNAcentral.